UACGGAGGGUGCAAGCGUUAUCCGGAAUCACUGGGUUUAAAGGGUGCGUAGGCGGUUUUUUAAGUCAGUUGUGAAAUUCCCUCGCUUAACGAGUGGGACUGCGAUUGAUACUGAAGAACUUGAAUCAGGUUGAGGUAGGCGGAAUGAGACAUGUAGCGGUGAAAUGCAUAGAUAUGUCUUAGAACACCGAUUGCGAAGGCAGCUUGCUGGACCUGAAUUGACGCUGAGGCACGAAAGCGUGGGGAGCAAACAGG
Molecule: ribosomal RNA, 254 nt
Filed under: uncultured bacterium
Lineage: Bacteria
Description: partial 16S ribosomal RNA
Rfam family: Bacterial small subunit ribosomal RNA
Source: RNAcentral